GUCAGGAUGAACGCUGGCGGCGUGCCUAAUACAUGCAAGUCGAACGAGUUCUCGUUGAUGAUCGGUGCUUGCACCGAGAUUCAACAUGGAACGAGUGGCGGACGGGUGAGUAACACGUGGGUAACCUGCCCUUAAGUGGGGGAUAACAUUUGGAAACAGAUGCUAAUACCGCAUAGAUCCAAGAACCGCAUGGUUCUUGGCUGAAAGAUGGCGUAAGCUAUCGCUUUUGGAUGGACCCGCGGCGUAUUAGCUAGUUGGUGAGGUAAUGGCUCACCAAGGCGAUGAUACGUAGCCGAACUGAGAGGUUGAUCGGCCACAUUGGGACUGAGACACGGCCCAAACUCCUACGGGAGGCAGCAGUAGGGAAUCUUCCACAAUGGACGCAAGUCUGAUGGAGCAACGCCGCGUGAGUGAAGAAGGCUUUCGGGUCGUAAAACUCUGUUGUUGGAGAAGAAUGGUCGGCAGAGUAACUGUUGUCGGCGUGACGGUAUCCAACCAGAAAGCCACGGCUAACUACGUGCCAGCAGCCGCGGUAAUACGUAGGUGGCAAGCGUUAUCCGGAUUUAUUGGGCGUAAAGCGAGCGCAGGCGGUUUUUUAAGUCUGAUGUGAAAGCCCUCGGCUUAACCGAGGAAGCGCAUCGGAAACUGGGAAACUUGAGUGCAGAAGAGGACAGUGGAACUCCAUGUGUAGCGGUGAAAUGCGUAGAUAUAUGGAAGAACACCAGUGGCGAAGGCGGCUGUCUGGUCUGUAACUGACGCUGAGGCUCGAAAGCAUGGGUAGCGAACAGGAUUAGAUACCCUGGUAGUCCAUGCCGUAAACGAUGAAUGCUAGGUGUUGGAGGGUUUCCGCCCUUCAGUGCCGCAGCUAACGCAUUAAGCAUUCCGCCUGGGGAGUACGACCGCAAGGUUGAAACUCAAAGGAAUUGACGGGGGCCCGCACAAGCGGUGGAGCAUGUGGUUUAAUUCGAAGCAACGCGAAGAACCUUACCAGGUCUUGACAUCUUUUGAUCACCUGAGAGAUCAGGUUUCCCCUUCGGGGGCAAAAUGACAGGUGGUGCAUGGUUGUCGUCAGCUCGUGUCGUGAGAUGUUGGGUUAAGUCCCGCAACGAGCGCAACCCUUAUGACUAGUUGCCAGCAUUUAGUUGGGCACUCUAGUAAGACUGCCGGUGACAAACCGGAGGAAGGUGGGGAUGACGUCAAAUCAUCAUGCCCCUUAUGACCUGGGCUACACACGUGCUACAAUGGAUGGUACAACGAGUUGCGAGACCGCGAGGUCAAGCUAAUCUCUUAAAGCCAUUCUCAGUUCGGACUGUAGGCUGCAACUCGCCUACACGAAGUCGGAAUCGCUAGUAAUCGCGGAUCAGCACGCCGCGGUGAAUACGUUCCCGGGCCUUGUACACACCGCCCGUCACACCAUGAGAGUUUGUAACACCCGAAGCCGGUGGCGUAACCCUUUUAGGGAGCGAGCCGUCUAAGGUGGGACAAAUGAUUAGGGUGAAGUCGUAACA
RNAcentral lists this ribosomal RNA (1508 nucleotides) under Lacticaseibacillus casei. Its description in RNAcentral is "bacterial SSU rRNA". It matches the Rfam family "Bacterial small subunit ribosomal RNA". The record is from RNAcentral. Lineage: Bacteria; Bacillati; Bacillota; Bacilli; Lactobacillales; Lactobacillaceae.